RNAcentral lists this ribosomal RNA (508 nucleotides) under uncultured bacterium. RNAcentral describes it as "bacterial SSU rRNA". It matches the Rfam family "Bacterial small subunit ribosomal RNA", at positions 15 to 518 of the family's 1533-position model. The record is from RNAcentral.
GAUCCUGGCUUAGGAUGAACGCUAGCUACAGGCUUAACACAUGCAAGUCGAGGGGCAGCAUGACCUAGCAAUAGGUGAUGGCGACCGGCGCACGGGUGAGUAACACGUAUCCAACCUACCGGUUAUUCCGGGAUAGCCUUUCGAAAGAAAGAUUAAUACCGGAUAGUAUAGCGAGAAGGCAUCUUCUUGUUAUUAAAGAAUUUCGAUAACCGAUGGGGAUGCGUUCCAUUAGUUUGUUGGCGGGUAACGGCCCACCAAGACAUCGAUGGAUAGGGGUUCUGAGAGGAAGGUCCCCCCACAUUGGAACUGAGACACGGUCCAAACUCCCACGGGAGGCAGCAGUGAGGAAUAUUGGUCAAUGGACGAGAGUCUGAACCAGCCGAGUAGCGUGAAGGAUGACUGCCCUAUGGGUUGUAAACUUCUUUUAUAUGGGAAUAAAGUGAGCCACGUGUGGCUUUUUGUAUGUACCAUACGAAUAAGGAUCGGCUAACUCCGUGCCAGCCGCAGC